Molecule: non-coding RNA, 274 nt
Organism: Paramuricea clavata
Lineage: Eukaryota; Metazoa; Cnidaria; Anthozoa; Malacalcyonacea; Plexauridae
Source: the annotation of a GenBank genome assembly
UAAAUAUACUACUAAAGGUUGUCUUUCUCGACCAUGCCAGGUGUUCCACCAAAGUCUUCCCAACUACCUGUCCGACGAAAUUGAACGCAUUCAAAGGCGUGCUAUGCGAAUCGUCUACCCUGGUUUAAAAUAUGAAGAAGCGUUAGCCAAAGCUAAUAUCACCACAUUACACUCUAGACGCGAACUCUUAUCUCGUAAAUUGUUUAAAGAUAAUGUUAAUGACAAAAACCACAAGCUGGCCGAACUUUUACCACCCAAGUCAAGCCACAACAAG